RNAcentral lists this ribosomal RNA (138 nucleotides) under Colobus angolensis palliatus. Lineage: Eukaryota; Metazoa; Chordata; Mammalia; Primates; Cercopithecidae. The record is from RNAcentral.
GUCUAUGGCCAUGCCACCCUGAACACGCCUGGUCUCAUCUGCUCUUGGAAGCUAAGCAGGGUCAGGCUGGGUAUGGGAGACCAUCUGGAUGGUCUGAUGGGGUGGGAGACCAUCUGGAAAUACCAGGUGCUGUCAGCU